Metopolophium dirhodum (rose-grain aphid) is the source of this 1604-nucleotide long non-coding RNA. RefSeq lists it as uncharacterized. The record is from RefSeq and is a predicted model, not a curated record. The transcript has 3 exons. Lineage: Eukaryota; Metazoa; Arthropoda; Insecta; Hemiptera; Aphididae.
UACAUACGUAUGUCGUAUCUAUUCGGUUAUUAAAGUGAUUAUUAUUAUACUGUUUACCACUUAAUAUAUUUUAUAGUUUAAUCUAGUUACUAGAAUUUUAGUACAUAAUAUUAUUAUAUUAUGUGCAGACGUAUUAUGAUUGAAUAUGUUCUUCGGUUCUUCUCCUCGUGACAAAAAUGAAUCUACUUUUUUCAAAGAUGUUUCGCUCAUGAACUUUAUUAUAACAUUAUUGAAACUAUACCUGCUGAAAUUUGGCAUGUCCAAGAUUCCUAAAAAGUAUUAUUUUCAAAAAUCAAAAUUCAACUGUCUCAUAUUUGAACCUUAAAUAGAAUUAUUAUUUUGAUCAUCUCCUUUGUUAAUGGUUUAAAAUUACAUACCUAAUAAUGUAAUAACGUUAAAUACUAAUACUUUGAUUUUUUUCUUUACAUUCUUCAUAGACAGUGAGACAAAUAACAAAUUAUAAUGUUAUAGACUCACUAUGUCAAGGAAGGAAAGUAUAUCUAAACUCGUCGGAAAACUUGGUAUUAAAAAUCCCAUACGACCCAUCGGUCUUAGUCAAGUUCUUGAAUUCUGAUGUGAAGUUUUUUUUUCCUGUCAUGAAACGAACGUCAUCCCAGAACAAGCAAAAACAAAAUUUUGCGGAACAAUUACAAAUUACUUUUCGUUUAUAUUUAUACAAUAUGUAUAUUAAUAGGUAUGUAAUAAUAUAGGUAUUAUGUAAUAAAGUUAAUAUAUAUUAUUUAUGUAUUAUUGAAAAAACUCUAGACAUUAUUAAGACUUUUGUUGAUAUUUAUUUUGUACAUAGUUUGUUCAAAACUAUUGAAAUUUAUUAGGUUAGCACCUUAUAUUAUGAAAUUUUACAAUAUUAAAAUAUUUUUUUUAAGUUAAAUAAUCAAAUUCUAAGAUAAACGAAUUAUAACAUAAUUAAAAAUAAUAUAUUAAAACUUUAAGUUUAGUGUUUUUUUUAUUUCAUGGAAAAUCACAAGGAAUACUCAUUGGACCGCACACUGCCCAGAAUAAUAUACCCAAGUAUACGUUUAUUUUAAAAAACAGUUAUAAACAGUAGAGUGUAAUAAUUAAUGAUAUUUUUUUUAUGUAAUUGUUGGUGCGUAAAUCCCGAUUACUCAGAAUUAGCUGUAUAUGAAAAGUUUAUGUAAUUGAAAUCAAGACUGGUCGUAGUUUAUGAGUUUAACCACUUAUAUUUAAAUAACUUUACCAAAAUGUCGUUAAUAUUCAAGGGCUCAAUUCCAGAAAAAUACUUGAAACUUUACAUUAACACGACGAUUUAUAUUGAUAAUGGUAUUUUAUUUAAAAUGAUUACAAUUACCCCAUAUUUAUUAAAAUAACCUCGAAAAUAACCUACCUUGAAUCCUCUUUAUUAUUUUUGAUAAAAUAUUUAUUCACGUUUAACAUGAAAAACAAACAAAACUGUUUAGCUCAAUAUCUACUAAAAUUCUCGACAAUUUUACAUUUAACAAUAUAAUAGCAUACUCUUGUUUAACUAAAAACAAAUGGCAAUGCCUAGGUACUAAUAAUGUUAUGAUCAUGCACGAUGUCAGCAGUAUGCAAAGUAUACUAAUUUAUUGUAUCCAGACGUUUUUGUG